CUUUACGGCCAAGGUGAAACGAAGAGAGAGACCUGAUACUACACUUUGGUCGAAGCAUGUCGCAUCUAUUCUGGUAUAUGCAGACAGCUACGAAGAAGCCAGGUGCAAACCAAAUCAAGCAACCCUGACUUCAAACUUGGAGAGUGACGAUGAAGAUCAUAUUCAUAGAA
Sinocyclocheilus grahami is the source of this 170-nucleotide long non-coding RNA. RefSeq lists it as uncharacterized. The transcript is spliced from 2 exons. The record is from RefSeq and is a predicted model, not a curated record. NCBI's taxonomy places the organism in Eukaryota, Metazoa, Chordata, Actinopteri, Cypriniformes, Cyprinidae.